CUUCUUUUCUCGAACAUAGGCAGGGAAUAAGUUAUCAAAUAAUGCAUCCAUGAAAACUUUCUAGAUGGUAGGGGUAGGUAAGAUCUCCUUUUUGAGUCAUCACCAAUGUUCAACUUUACUGUUUAGCAUAAAAGCUGCUAGGGGAACUUUUUAUUCCUUAAGUCAUAUCUAGGAUAGAGAAAAGCUUCUCCAUUUGUAGGAUCCAGGCUUCAGCUACUAAGGGGUCAGGG
This 230-nucleotide long non-coding RNA is filed under the name Carica papaya (papaya). RNAcentral's name for it is "long non-coding RNA (CPAP_LNC004099)". The record is from RNAcentral. Lineage: Eukaryota; Viridiplantae; Streptophyta; Magnoliopsida; Brassicales; Caricaceae.